This 74-nucleotide transfer RNA is filed under the name Daphnia pulex (common water flea). RNAcentral describes it as "tRNA-Asn". It matches the Rfam family "tRNA". Rfam says of the family: Transfer RNA (tRNA) molecules are approximately 80 nucleotides in length. Lineage: Eukaryota; Metazoa; Arthropoda; Branchiopoda; Diplostraca; Daphniidae. The record is from RNAcentral.
GCCUCUGUGGCGCAAUUGGCUAGCGCGUUCGGCUGUUAACCGGAAGGCUGGUGGUUAGAUCCCACCCAGGGGCG